This 622-nucleotide ribosomal RNA is filed under the name uncultured marine bacterium. RNAcentral describes it as "bacterial SSU rRNA". It matches the Rfam family "Bacterial small subunit ribosomal RNA", at positions 879 to 1501 of the family's 1533-position model. The record is from RNAcentral.
AGUACGGCCGCAAGGUUAAAACUCAAAUGAAUUGACGGGGGCCCGCACAAGCGGUGGAGCAUGUGGUUUAAUUCGAUGCAACGCGAAGAACCUUACCUGGUCUUGACAUCCACGGAAGUUUUCAGAGAUGAGAAUGUGCCUUCGGGAACCGUGAGACAGGUGCUGCAUGGCUGUCGUCAGCUCGUGUUGUGAAAUGUUGGGUUAAGUCCCGCAACGAGCGCAACCCUUAUCCUUUGUUGCCAGCGGUCCGGCCGGGAACUCAAAGGAGACUGCCAGUGAUAAACUGGAGGAAGGUGGGGAUGACGUCAAGUCAUCAUGGCCCUUACGACCAGGGCUACACACGUGCUACAAUGGCGCAUACAAAGAGAAGCGACCUCGCGAGAGCAAGCGGACCUCAUAAAGUGCGUCGUAGUCCGGAUUGGAGUCUGCAACUCGACUCCAUGAAGUCGGAAUCGCUAGUAAUCGUGGAUCAGAAUGCCACGGUGAAUACGUUCCCGGGCCUUGUACACACCGCCCGUCACACCAUGGGAGUGGGUUGCAAAAGAGGUAGGUAGCUUAACCUUCGGGAGGGCGCUUACCACUUUGUGAUUCAUGACUGGGGUGAAGUCGUAACAAGGUAACC